This 438-nucleotide ribosomal RNA is filed under the name uncultured cyanobacterium. RNAcentral's name for it is "bacterial SSU rRNA". It matches the Rfam family "Bacterial small subunit ribosomal RNA", at positions 46 to 526 of the family's 1533-position model. The record is from RNAcentral. Lineage: Bacteria; Bacillati; Cyanobacteriota.
GCUUAACACAUGCAAGUCGAACGCAAGUAGAAAUACUUGAGUGGCGGACGGGUGAGUAACGCGUGAGAAUCUGCCUUUUGGUCGGGGACAACCACUGGAAACGGUGGCUAAUACCGGAUAAGCCCAUGGGUAAAAGAUUAAUUGCCAAAAGAGGAGCUCGCGUCUGAUUAGCUAGUAGGUGUGGUAAAGGCCCACCUACGCGACGAUCAGUAGCUGGUCUGAGAGGACGAUCAGCCACACUGGGACUGAGACACGGCCCAGACUCCUACGGGAGGCAGCAGUGGGGAAUUUUCCGCAAUGGGCGAAAGCCUGACGGAGCAAUACCGCGUGAGGGAGGAAGGCUCUUGGGUCGUAAACCUCUUUUAUCAGGGAAGAAACAAAUGACGGUACCUGAUGAAUCAGCAUCGGCUAACUCCGUGCCAGCAGCCGCGGUAAUAC